AUCAAUAAGCGGAGGAAAAGAAACCAACAGGGAUUGCCUUAGUAACUGCGAGUGAAGCGGCAAAAGCUCAAAUUUGAAAUCUGGCGCCUUCGGCGUCCGAGUUGUAAUUUGGAGAGACAUCUUCGGAGUAGACGCCGUCCUAAGUUCCUUGGAACAGGACGUCACAGAGGGUGAGAAUCCCGUGCCUGGAUGGCUGUUCUACUUCAUGUGAAGUGUCUUCGACGAGUCGAGUUGUUUGGGAAUGCAGCUCAAAAUGGGAGGUAAAUUUCUUCUAAAGCUAAAUAUUGGCGAGAGACCGAUAGCGCACAAGUAGAGUGAUCGAAAGAUGAAAAGCACUUUGAAAAGAGAGUUAAAAAGUACGUGAAAUUGUUGAAAGGGAAGCGCUUGAGACCAGACUCGAUCAGUGGUGAUCAGCGGUGCUUCUGUACCGUGCACUUGCCAUUGAUUGGGCCAGCAUCGGUUUAGACGGCGGGAUAAAGACCUGAGGAAUGUGGCUCCCUCCGGGGAGUGUUAUAGCCUUGGGUGCAAUGCCGCCAGUCUGGACCGAGGACCGCGCUUCGGCUAGGAUGCUGGCGUAAUGGUCUUCAGCGACCCGUCUUGAAACACGGACCAAGGAGUCUAACAUCUAUGCGAGUGUUCGGGUGGAAAACCCUUGCGCGUAAUGAAAGUGAACGGAGGUGAGAACACUUCGGUGUGCAUCAUCGACCGAUCCUGAUGUCUUCGGAUGGAUUUGAGUAUGAGCAUAGCUG
Molecule: ribosomal RNA, 749 nt
Filed under: Pseudombrophila merdaria
Lineage: Eukaryota; Fungi; Ascomycota; Pezizomycetes; Pezizales; Pyronemataceae
Description: eukaryotic LSU rRNA
Rfam family: Eukaryotic large subunit ribosomal RNA
Source: RNAcentral